Molecule: small RNA, 26 nt
Filed under: Bombyx mori (domestic silkworm)
Lineage: Eukaryota; Metazoa; Arthropoda; Insecta; Lepidoptera; Bombycidae
Description: ovarian small RNA-31762
Source: RNAcentral
UGACGGAGUUUUCCAUAGGCAGCCCA